RNAcentral lists this transfer RNA (77 nucleotides) under Mycoplasmopsis fermentans. Its description in RNAcentral is "tRNA-Arg". It matches the Rfam family "tRNA". From Rfam's summary of the family: Transfer RNA (tRNA) molecules are approximately 80 nucleotides in length. Their secondary structure includes four short double-helical elements and three loops (D, anti-codon, and T loops). Further hydrogen bonds mediate the characteristic L-shaped molecular structure. tRNAs have two regions of fundamental functional importance: the anti-codon, which is responsible for specific mRNA codon recognition, and the 3' end, to which the tRNAs corresponding amino acid is attached (by aminoacyl-tRNA synthetases). tRNAs cope with the degeneracy of the genetic code in two manners: having more than one tRNA (with a specific anti-codon) for a particular amino acid; and 'wobble' base-pairing, i.e. permitting non-standard base-pairing at the 3rd anti-codon position. RNAcentral also lists the same sequence under 7 other names. Lineage: Bacteria; Bacillati; Mycoplasmatota; Mycoplasmoidales; Metamycoplasmataceae. The record is from RNAcentral.
GGUCGCGUAGCUCAGUAGGAUAGAGCACGAGCCUUCUAAGCCCGUGGUCAGAGGUUCGAAUCCUCUCGUGAUCGCCA